GUGGGGAAUAUUGCGCAAUGGGGGAAACCCUGACGCAGCAACGCCGCGUGCGGGAUGAAGGCCUUCGGGUUGUAAACCGCUUUCAGCAGGGAAGAUCCAAGACGGUACCUGCAGAAGAAGCCCCGGCUAACUACGUGCCAGCAGCCGCGGUAAUACGUAGGGGGCGAGCGUUAUCCGGAUUCAUUGGGCGUAAAGCGCGCGCAGGCGGGUUGCUAAGCGGGACCUCUAAUCCUGGGGCUCAACCUCAGGCCGGGUCCCGAACUGGCAGCCUCGGGUUCGGUAGGGGAGAUCGGAAUUCCCGGUGUAGCGGUGGAAUGCGCAGAUAUCGGGAAGAACACCGAUGGCGAAGGCAGAUCUCUGGGCCGCAACCGACGCUGAGGCGCGAAAGCUAGGGGAGCGAACAGGA
RNAcentral lists this ribosomal RNA (406 nucleotides) under uncultured bacterium. RNAcentral describes it as "bacterial SSU rRNA". It matches the Rfam family "Bacterial small subunit ribosomal RNA", at positions 354 to 777 of the family's 1533-position model. The record is from RNAcentral.